This 433-nucleotide ribosomal RNA is filed under the name uncultured bacterium. Its description in RNAcentral is "partial 16S ribosomal RNA". It matches the Rfam family "Bacterial small subunit ribosomal RNA", at positions 29 to 507 of the family's 1533-position model. The record is from RNAcentral.
AGCGAACGCUGGCGGCAGGCCUAACACAUGCAAGUCGAACGAACUCUUCGGAGUUAGUGGCGGACGGGUGAGUAACACGUGGGAACGUGCCUUUUGGUUCGGAAUAACUCAGGGAAACUUGUGCUAAUACCGAAUGUGCUCUUCGGGGGAAAGAUUUAUCGCCAUUAGAGCGGCCCGCGUCUGAUUAGCUAGUUGGUGAGGUAACGGCUCACCAAGGCGACGAUCAGUAGCUGGUCUGAGAGGAUGACCAGCCACACUGGGACUGAGACACGGCCCAGACUCCGACGGGAGGCAGCAGUAGGGAAUCUUGCGCAAUGGGCGAAAGCCUGACGCAGCCAUGCCGCGUGAAUGAUGAAGGUCUUAGGAUUGUAAAAUUCUUUCACCGGGGACGAUAAUGACGGUACCCGGAGAAGAAGCCCCGGCUAACUUCGUG